GCUUGCUUUUUUGAUGACGACCGGCGCACGGGUGCGUAACGCGUAUGCAAUCUACCUUUUGCUACUGGAUAGCCCAGAGAAAUUUGGAUUAACACAGUAUAGUAUCAUAUUACUGCAUGGUAUUUAUGAUUAAAGGCUACGGCAGAAGAUGAGCAUGCGUCCUAUUAGCUAGUUGGUGUGGUAACGGCAUACCAAGGCAACGAUAGGUAGGGGCCCUGAGAGGGGGAUCCCCCACACUGGUACUGAGACACGGACCAGACUCCUACGGGAGGCAGCAGUGAGGAAUAUUGGACAAUGGAGGCAACUCUGAUCCAGCCAUGCCGCGUGCAGGAUGACUGCCCUAUGGGUUGUAAACUGCUUUUAUACAGGAAGAAACCGCUCUACGUGUAGAGCUCUGACGGUACUGUAAGAAUAAGGAUCGGCUAACUCCGUGCCAGCAGCCGCGGUAAUACGGAGGAUCCAAGCGUUAUCCGGAAUCAUUGG
This 483-nucleotide ribosomal RNA is filed under the name Tamlana sp. ini8. Its description in RNAcentral is "bacterial SSU rRNA". It matches the Rfam family "Bacterial small subunit ribosomal RNA", at positions 78 to 557 of the family's 1533-position model. Lineage: Bacteria; Pseudomonadati; Bacteroidota; Flavobacteriia; Flavobacteriales; Flavobacteriaceae. The record is from RNAcentral.